GACGUAGGGCGCGAGCGUUGUCCGGAUUUAUUGGGCGUAAAGAGCUCGUAGGCGGCUUGUCGCGUCGUCCGUGAAAACCUGCAGCUCAACUGCAGGCUUGCGGUCGAUACGGGCAGGCUAGAGUUCGGUAGGGGAGACUGGAAUUCCUGGUGUAGCGGUGAAAUGCGCAGAUAUCAGGAGGAACACCGGUGGCGAAGGCAGGUCUCUGGGCCGAUACUGACGCUGAGGAGCGAAAGCGUGGGGAGCGAACAGG
This 253-nucleotide ribosomal RNA is filed under the name uncultured bacterium. RNAcentral describes it as "partial 16S ribosomal RNA". It matches the Rfam family "Bacterial small subunit ribosomal RNA", at positions 524 to 776 of the family's 1533-position model. The record is from RNAcentral.